ACCUCGUCCUGCUGCCACUCCUUCACCUGGGAUGACAGACAGAGGCCAGAAGACACCAGAGCCAAGAAAAGGAGAGCUAGAGAUACAGUCAGUCAAACUGACUCCUAAGGAGACGUAGAGGUGCUAGCAGUAGCAAGGUCAAGGUGGAAGAGGAGAGGCCACAUAUGGCCAAGGUCAGAACCAUGACCCUCAGCUGAAGGUAGAGGCUGGGGGCCUCUGUCAUGGCUCUCUGUGCACUGACCACGAGGAAGCACUUUUGCAAUAUAGGAAAAGAAGAAACCAGAUUGAUAAAGGAAGUACUCGUUACUCUGAGGCCGGGUGAAUCAGGGGAAGACAUUCACCCACCCCUGCUCUUCUAAAGGAGACUGAUCCACGUUCUCCAGGUGCCUCUUGAUUCCCCAAGGAGACACCUCCUGGGGCCUCCCCUCUGGCCUGGACAGAGCUGCUUGUCUUCUCUCCUGGGAGGAGAGUGAGGCAAUGGGUCUGUCCUUGCUGCUGCCUCUGCUGCUGCUGCUGCUGCUGACUACUCUGCAGGCUGGUAACUCAGCAAGAUGUGAUCCAAAAAUGGACUUUAGGAUGGACCAACCAGAGCACCUCUCCGCCCCCAAGGGUGGCACCGUCCACAUCAAUUUCACCUUCUAUUACUGUGGGGCAUUAGCCAAGGAUCCCAGAGUGAGUAUAGCCUUGAGACGGACACAUUUCCAUGGGGAGGUCAUCUACAACAGUACUAGGCAUUUCGUCCAUGAGGAUUACAAGGACCGGAUCAUCCUGAACUUGCCAGAGGGUCAGAAGUCUGGCUUCCUGCAGAUAUUGAACCUGCGGGAGGAGGAUGAGAAUAUGUAUUUUUGCCGGGUCCAAUUGAAGACACAAAGAUUUGGCUUGCAGUCGGUGCAGUCCAUCCUGGGGACCAAACUCACCAUCUACCUCGCUCCCAAGACAACCACCAAGGGCCCCACCAGCACUGUCACCACCACCACUGGACUCAGUGUCUUGGAGGGGAAUAGGACCUCAGUGUCUUUACCCUUGAGUGUGGAAGCUGUGGUCAAGGUGGCACUGACCAUUGCUGUGCUCAAAACUGUAAUUUUGGGACUGACACUCUACCUUAGGUGGAAGACAAGCAAAGGUUGCCUCCUGGUCCAAGAUGGCUGCUCAGACUCCAGCCAUUAUUUCUGAAUCUAGGCAGGAAACAGGAGGGAGGAAGAAGAGACAAAAAACCAUGCUGCAUCUGUCCGUCCUCCUUUUAAAGAAUCUUCCUGAAAAUCCUACCCACAACUUCCCCUUGAAUCCUAUUGGCUAGGAUGUCAUCAGAUGUCCACAUCUAUCAGCAGGGGAGCACACUGCCACCCAAAACAAAGUCAAGGUUCUCUAACUAAGGAAGAAGAAAUGAAUGGAUAUUGGGUCUACAGACUACAGCCAGAACCGUAGCCAGGGGAUCCCUCCAAAAUACUGAGGAGAAGUAUGAGAACAUUGGGAUUUAAACCCUGAAGCUAUUGGAUCUUCACUCCACAUAUCAGACAGGGCCCCUGAUGACCAUGGAGACCAUUCAGGGCACAAUGCUGCAUUAGUGGGCACAUAGCCCCUAAACUCCCUCCACACACCAGUGGCUUCCCUGCACUCCGUGGCCCAGAAGCUGGAAAACCUGGCCAAAGGCCUCCACACCAUGGUAGCUCUGAGGCUGGGUGCCCACAUUGCCACCUUCACUCCAUUUGUCCUUAUCUGGUGACUGGCAGGGAUCUGGGCAGCUGUGGUUGCACUGUUGGCCUGGGAACUCUGCACUCUGUGGUCAACAUGGCCAAUACCAACUACAAGUCUGUGUAUGGCAGCUACUUGUUCACUCUCUGGGGGAAACAGCUCCAUUGGGCUGCCUUUGGUGACCUCCACCUGGGCUUUGUGGACACUUAGGAAAUAAUCCCCAGCCAGCGCUGCCCUGUGGCAUCCACUCAGGGAGGCUCAUCAUCUGCAACAAGGUAGACUUGCUCCUCUCCUUCAUCUGGCCCACCUGAGUGCUUCUGUGGGUCCCAGAACUCUGUGGAUGGAAGGCCUGGGACACAGUUGUGAAGAGGACCAGAGCCAUAAUAGGAUUUCUAGGACUAGACCAGGUGCCAUUGAUUUCUCUUGCCUGGAAGAUCCCAAGUUUCCUAACCAGUCCAGCUGAUUCUAUUCUUGCCCCACUCUGAUCUCUUCUCCACACAGAACAAGAGUAGUUACUUUAAAACAUAAAUGAGACCAAGUCAUUAGUCUGUUUAAAAAGCCAAAACCUUCUCAGUAUAAAUCCAAACCCCUAACUAUAGUCCAUGAUGGCCUGGCCAAACUCUGCAUCCCCAUUUGUUGUCCUUCCUCUCUGGCAUUCUGCAGUCCACCCCCAGCUCUUCUUGCUGCUCAACCAGGUCAAGCUGUCCUGCCUCAGGACCUUUAUACCUGCUGUUCCUGUGCCUGGAAGGCACAUCUGCUAGAUCAUCAUACAGUUGGCUUUCUUCUCCUUUGGCUCCCUGAUCAAACAUCAUCUCCUCAAAGGUUUUUCCUGACUGCCUUAAAUAAAAGAGGCCAUCAUCCCGUUCCCACA
Molecule: RNA transcript, 2563 nt
Organism: Canis lupus familiaris (dog)
Lineage: Eukaryota; Metazoa; Chordata; Mammalia; Carnivora; Canidae
Gene name: paired immunoglobulin-like type 2 receptor alpha
Exons: 7
Source: RefSeq, a predicted model, not a curated record